Molecule: ribosomal RNA, 468 nt
Filed under: uncultured bacterium
Lineage: Bacteria
Description: partial 16S ribosomal RNA
Rfam family: Bacterial small subunit ribosomal RNA
Source: RNAcentral
GACGAACGCUGGCGGCGUGCUUAACACAUGCCAGUCGAACGGAAAGGCCCUGCUUUUGUGGGGUGCUCGUGUGGCGAACGGGUGAGUAACACGCGAGUAACCUGCCCUUGACUUUGGGAUAACUUCAGGAAACUGGGGCUAAUAUCGCAUAGGAGCUCCUGCUGCACGGUGGGGGUUGGAAAGUUUCGGCGGUUGGGGAUGGACUCGCGGCUUAUCAGCUUGUUGGUGGGGUAGUGGCUUACCAAGGCUUUGACGGGUAGGCGGCCUGAGAGGGUGACCGGCCACAUUGGGACUGAGAUACGGCCCAGACUCCUACGGGAGGCAGCAGUGGGGAAUAUUGCACAAUGGGCGGAAGCCUGAUGCAGCAACGCCGCGUGCGGGAUGACGGCCUUCGGGUUGUAAACCGCUUUCGCCUGUGACGAAGCGUGAGUGACGGUAAUGGGUAAAGAAGCACCGGCUAACUACGUG